UUGUUGUGCUGAGAUGGGAAGUUUCAACACAGUCGUCAACGAGAAACUAUCCAGUAGGUACACGAAAAACAGCACAUAAUUUGAUUUGUUCGCAGGAGUAACCAUCUCCUGUCCCGCCAAUGUUGCAUGGAGGUGGGAAGUCUCCAUGCAGUCGUUCAAAAAGAUAUCCGUCCAGUAGAAGAGAAGAAAUUCAGAUAUAGACCAGCUGAGAUGACAUCUAUUCACUGCUACUCCCUCAUGAUGCAGUGGCAUGACGUAUCCCAAGAGAUCAGAUUCAGAUAAAUAUCGGUAUGGAUUACGCACAUCUCAGAGCCACAUCGCUGGAAGAGAGCGAGCCUGAAUUACUCAGGACUUCAACGACUGGAUGAGAUGUAUAUUCAGCAGUGCAAUGUAAGUUAACGUAUACGUUCUUAUUCUAUAAACAGGUCUCAGACCACGCUGCUAUUAGUAAAGACUAUACGGACUUCCAGACCAGCACAUAAAGUUCCAGAUCUUACUUAAAUCUUCAACUCUUAAUGUUUCCAGUCAUGUUGUAUAUACAUAAAUAAUAAUAAAUA
Molecule: long non-coding RNA, 557 nt
Organism: Pogonomyrmex barbatus (red harvester ant)
Lineage: Eukaryota; Metazoa; Arthropoda; Insecta; Hymenoptera; Formicidae
Source: RefSeq, a predicted model, not a curated record